This 468-nucleotide ribosomal RNA is filed under the name uncultured bacterium. RNAcentral's name for it is "partial 16S ribosomal RNA". It matches the Rfam family "Bacterial small subunit ribosomal RNA", at positions 28 to 507 of the family's 1533-position model. The record is from RNAcentral.
GACGAACGCUGGCGGCGUGCUUAACACAUGCAAGUCGAACGGAAAGGCCCUGCUUUUGUGGGGUGCUCGAGUGGCGAACGGGUGAGUAACACGUGAGUAACCUGCCCUUGACUUUGGGAUAACUUCAGGAAACUGGGGCUAAUACCGGAUAGGAGCUCCUGCUGCCUGGUGGGGGUUGGAAAGUUUCGGCGGUUGGGGAUGGACUCGCGGCUUAUCAGCUUGUUGGUGGGGUAGUGGCUUACCAAGGCUUUGACGGGUAGCCGGCCUGAGAGGGUGACCGGCCACAUUGGGACUGAGAUACGGCCCAGACGCCUACGGGAGGCAGCAGGGGGGAAUAUUGCACAAUGGGCGGAAGCCUGAGGCAGCAACGCCGCGGGCGGGAUGACGGCCUUCGGGUUGUAAACCGCUUUCGCCUGUGACGAAGCGUGAGUGACGGUAAUGGGUAAAGAAGCACCGGCUAACUACGUG